This 492-nucleotide ribosomal RNA is filed under the name uncultured bacterium. RNAcentral's name for it is "partial 16S ribosomal RNA". It matches the Rfam family "Bacterial small subunit ribosomal RNA", at positions 29 to 507 of the family's 1533-position model. The record is from RNAcentral.
AGUGAACGCUGGCGGUAGGCCUAACACAUGCAAGUCGGACGGCAGCUCAGUAAGAGCUUGCUCUUACGGGUGGCGAGUGGCGGACGGGUGAGGAAUACAUCGGAAUCUACUUUUUCGUGGGGGAUAACGUAGGGAAACUUACGCUAAUACCGCAUACGACCUACGGGUGAAAGCAGGGGAUCUUCGGACCUUGCGCGAUUGAAUGAGCCGAUGUCGGAUUAGCUAGUUGGCGGGGUAAAGGCCCACCAAGGCGACGAUCCGUAGCUGGUCUGAGAGGAUGAUCAGCCACACUGGAACUGAGACACGGUCCAGACUCCUACGGGAGGCAGCAGUGGGGAAUAUUGGACAAUGGGCGCAAGCCUGAUCCAGCCAUACCGCGUGGGUGAAGAAGGCCUUCGGGUUGUAAAGCCCUUUUGUUGGGAAAGAAAAGCAGCAGGUUAAUACCCCGCUGUUCUGACGGUACCCAAAGAAUAAGCACCGGCUAACUUCGUG